CCGAUGGCGACCGGCGCACGGGUGAGUAACACGUAUCCAACCUGCCGAUGACUCGGGGAUAGCCUUUCGAAAGAAAGAUUAAUACCCGAUGGCAUAGUUCUUCCGCAUGGUAGAACUAUUAAAGAAUUUCGGUCAUCGAUGGGGAUGCGUUCCACUAGGUUGUUGGCGGGGUAACGGCCCACCAAGCCUUCGAUGGAUAGGGGUUCUGAGAGGAAGGUCCCCCACAUUGGAACUGAGACACGGUCCAA
RNAcentral lists this ribosomal RNA (248 nucleotides) under uncultured bacterium. RNAcentral's name for it is "partial 16S ribosomal RNA". It matches the Rfam family "Bacterial small subunit ribosomal RNA", at positions 85 to 334 of the family's 1533-position model. The record is from RNAcentral.